RNAcentral lists this ribosomal RNA (205 nucleotides) under Ctenophora environmental sample. Its description in RNAcentral is "partial Bacterial large subunit ribosomal RNA". It matches the Rfam family "Bacterial large subunit ribosomal RNA", at positions 1583 to 1793 of the family's 2925-position model. Lineage: Eukaryota; Metazoa; Ctenophora. The record is from RNAcentral.
GAACGAAGAGGGUGGACUCGUCGUGCCGAGAAAGAGCUUCUAAGGUUAGGUUAUCAGGAACCGUACCGCAAACCGACACAGGUAGGCGAGCUGAGAAUGCUAAGGCGUACGGAAGAACUCACGUUAAGGAACUCGGCAAAUUACAUACGUAACUUAGGGAGAAGUAUGGCCUCCUUCGAGAGAAGAGGUUGCAGAGACCAGGCCU